AUCAAAUAGCAAUAUAGAAAAUCAAUUAAAACUAGGUUAAACUAAAACCAUAAAUCCCAACUCAAAAAAUUAGCCCAUGUUAAAUAAAUGACAACAAAGGAGAAUAUUAAUACAUGACAUUGCAAAUUUGGCAAAAUAAUUGAGCAAAAUACAAAGUAUAGAUAAAACUCUUUUUUGAAGCAUGAACUUGAUUCUCCAAGAGCUUUGUCAAAUCCUUGAUGUAAUCUCCUUGUUGCUCUAUAUUGAAUCUCCAAAAUACCAAGCUAAACAAAAGAAAAGAAAUUGAAAGAAAAAAAAGAAGCAAAAUCA
Molecule: long non-coding RNA, 309 nt
Filed under: Olea europaea subsp. europaea
Lineage: Eukaryota; Viridiplantae; Streptophyta; Magnoliopsida; Lamiales; Oleaceae
Source: RNAcentral